CGGUCUGCCAGCCACUUUGAUGUACGUCAACCAAAGCAUCUCAACCAGAAACAUAAUUGAACCAAGCCCCUGCACAAGUGACAGGCUUAACAGAAAGACCGCGGCUAAGGGCGAGACAGGCAAAGAUGCAGAUGCAUCUCAAAUCACCCAGCUCUCUGUGAAAGAGAGAUUUUGAAAGACCGAGGCUAAGAACAGGAGAGACAAAGCUUGGAGAUCCAGUGUGGCACAGCCAGCUAUUGCACUUGUGUGGGGUGCAGCGGCGGAUGCCGUCGUUUGGGACCUUGCCAGUGCUGACCGUAGCAAGGAUUCCCACGAGGUGACACAAAGCUGGCCACAGCGUCACCCCAGGAGGAAUGGUUUCGGUUGACCUUAAGGUGACCCCUGCCGCACUGCUGCAUUGCGCAUUGCUGCGGUCGCGCCGAUAUCCCUGCAACCAGCUGCGUCAGCUGCGGUCUCCUCGGCAGGCUGCACGUUUUCGUGCAGCCAUCCGGCAAUAAGAAGGUUACAGCGCAGAGACACGCUUCCGCAUACGCCGCCGCAAUUCAGAAUUCUCAGCCGAGGUGAGAAAGGGAGGCUCGGGUUCUAUUCAGCCUACGGAGUCGAUCGAAAGGCUUAAAUCCACUUUCAGUAGCAUCUAUGGAAAUGUUCCGUUCACGCUGUUGCGAGACCAGAGCUCUAACAUUAGGGGAUCAAGCACGCAAAACUUCAGGCAUCCAUCAAUUUGGGUUUAUUUUCUUACUACUGCAAAAAAAG
Molecule: long non-coding RNA, 753 nt
Organism: Anguilla anguilla (European eel)
Lineage: Eukaryota; Metazoa; Chordata; Actinopteri; Anguilliformes; Anguillidae
Exons: 3
Source: RefSeq, a predicted model, not a curated record